UGCGCAGGCGGGGAAAUAAGUCAGUGGUGAAAAGCUGCCGCUUAACGGUAGUCUUGCCAAUGAUACUGUUUUUCUUGAGUAUGGUUAAGGUAGGCGGAAUGUGCAGUGUAGCGGUGAAAUGCAUAGAGAUUGCACAGAAGGCCGAUUGCGGAGGCAGCUUACUGAGCCAUAACUGACGCUGAGGCACGAAAGCGUGGGGAUCGAACAGGAUUAGAUCCCUGGUAGUCC
This 228-nucleotide ribosomal RNA is filed under the name uncultured bacterium. RNAcentral's name for it is "partial 16S ribosomal RNA". It matches the Rfam family "Bacterial small subunit ribosomal RNA", at positions 568 to 796 of the family's 1533-position model. The record is from RNAcentral.